This 294-nucleotide ribosomal RNA is filed under the name uncultured bacterium. Its description in RNAcentral is "partial 16S ribosomal RNA". It matches the Rfam family "Bacterial small subunit ribosomal RNA", at positions 775 to 1067 of the family's 1533-position model. The record is from RNAcentral.
GGAUUAGAUACCCUGGUAGUCCACGCGGUAAACGAUGUCGGCUUGGUGUUUGAUGGUGUGAAAGCGCUGUUGAGUACCGAAGCUCACGCGAUAAGCCGACCGCCUGGGGACUACGAGCGCAAGCUUAAAACUCAAAGGAAUUGACGGGGGCCCGCACAAGCAGCGGAGCGUGUGGUUUAAUUCGACAACGCGAAGAACCUUACCCAGGUUUGACAUGUAGCUGCAAGCGCACAGAAAUGUGUGACCUUCGAGGGCGCUACACAGGUGCUGCAUGGCUGUCGUCAGCUCGUGCUG